This 2480-nucleotide long non-coding RNA is filed under the name Rattus norvegicus (Norway rat). RNAcentral's name for it is "long non-coding RNA NONRATT033309". Lineage: Eukaryota; Metazoa; Chordata; Mammalia; Rodentia; Muridae. The record is from RNAcentral.
GUCAAGACAUUGGCGUCCUUCUGAGCACAGAGUGAAGAUCUGUGGUCCUCUUAUUUCUUUCUUCUUGACUCCUGGCAUUUUGGUGACAAGCAGUUUCAGAUUGCACUUGUCAAAUCAGGAAACAAGGGAAACUUGGAAGGGAAAAUCAAAACAGUUGGAAAAGUCUCAACAGUUACACUUUCGCGUCGCUUACCGUGAAGAACCACUUGGUGUUCUCUAAGAAUGGGUUUGAUUACGCUGCCCACAGCUUUACAAGUGGCACCUUUCACCCCUCCCGAGGCCCACAUGGAGAGGCUGAUGAAGCUGAUUGUGGCAAUCCUGACUCAUUCCACACUUCCAGGACUCAUUCCACAUGCCACGGACCCUUUGAGGAAGUGCUGCUUCAAGCGGAAGACUUUGGCCCUGUUUGCUUUGCCAUUGAUGACCUCUGAACCCCAUGCCCAAGGCCUGUUUUUUUCAAAGAACGUGGUAUUACAUUAUAAAUAUCAGAAAGAAUUUGCCAAAAUGUCUUAUACCAGGCACCUGGGAAGAGUAAAUGUAGGACCCAUAAGGAGACCUGGUUAUGGUGGCAGCCAAAUUGAGAAUUACAUGAACCCUAGGCCUAAGCUCUCUUUGAGAGGAUGCAGUGGCUUCCUGGCAGCUACACUUCACCAAGAUUGUUAACAAGUCUACCUCAGAACAUGUGUUGGUUUCAUUUGCAGUCAGAGCAUAGGGCCUUUCUUCUACAACCAGGAGCCAUGGCUGAGCAAAGUAUGAAGUGAGCCCAUACUCUCAAGAGAGUUCUAGAAAUUGAGGUUGAACACCUUCCACAAGCCCAAUACCACCCGCUACGGACCACACCCAUCUACAGGCUAUAUGCAAAGGAGCCUGGGAAGAGGAGAAGAAAUCUGUGGUGCUGCUGUCUUCUUCCUGUGGUAGAAAGUGGCCUUUCUUUCCUUCAAGUCCCACUGUGGGACCUGACAGAAAGAGAGGGUUUUCUUUAGCUCAGCUUACACAUGCCAUAGAUCCAUCAAGGAAAUAUUGCUUCGAGUAGAAGAGGGUGGCCCUGUCUGUUUUGUCACUGAUGACCCCCAUGGGUCAGAGGUCAUAGGACAUAGGAGAGUAUCUAGGGAUCUUAUGUCUUCAUAAAGAGGACUAUGGAGAUUGUUGAGUCCAGGGAACCCUUGGGGACAGUGUUCAGGGGCUCCAGGCUCAGAAGGCACACAAGCUGACUCAGAGCAGCCUGAUGUGUGAGCUGUGGUCAGAAUUCCUGUUUGUUAUAUGUGUCACUUCUCUGUGUAGCCAUACCAGCUCUCUGGCUACUCUGCCAUUCACAUCUACUGCUUGACCCUGAACUUUGGUCUACUAUGCUAAUAUAUCACCUUCUUAUACAUGUAUCCCCGGGGCAUUUUUCUUAGAGAGGUCCUUUUCAGCCCCACCCUCAUUUCCCUAGUUGGUACCUUCACGGUGCUUUCUGCCUGGCACUGUUAAGUGGUUAUUGGUUCUCUGGGUCUCUCCUGCUCCUGACACCAGUGAAUAAGAUCAAGAGGAGAAGGGCUGUGCUUUGAUCAUCACUGUUCCCACCACUAAACAGAGACCACAGGGGGCUGUGUGUGCUCACAGGUGCUGCUCAGUGGGGGAGCUUGUAACAACCAGGCUGGACCUAAAGGACUCAGAGAUGUACCCCAGGCCCAUGGGGGGAGUCAUGGCAGACAGUCCUCCCCAGAGUGGUGUCUUUCAUCUUUUUCGUUUGUUCUUUGGCCUUUUAGAUAUAACUAACGCCUUGGGCUAAGUGAUGGGAGUUGGUUUCAACCUGAAGAGGCAGCUGAGAGACACUUUUAGGAAGGCCAUUCCCUAUAGGACGGAGGAUGGCAGAGAGUGUCCCUCCGUUUGAGGCUGCAACAUCUGCCCAGUGACAUUUGAGCCUCAGCCAAAGUCCCCACUGUAUACAAACGGAUUGUUCCCCACCUGGAAGUUUCGGCAUCAGAUAAUAAACUGACAUCACUUCUCCAGGGUAUGAGUGAGAGAACUGCCAGAGGCACCUGGAAGAGUCCAGAGAAGCAAGAGAGAGUAGAAGCCUGAACAUGGCCAGAGAAGUUGGGGGGAGACUGAGAGAGGGAGACAAAGAACAUGCACAGACCAAAAUAGUAGGCUUAUAAGGAGAAAUGAGAGCCUGGGGGGAGGGAAGGCCCUGAGCCGGAGAAGUUUAGAUGGGGAAGGGCUGAGAAGAGCUAGAUGCUUGUGAUACUGAGAGGUCCUGGAGGCCAGCAUCUACUUUGGCAGGCUAAUAGGCACCAAAGACAGCAAUUUGUCCCUUCUGCCAAUGACAAGGGAAAUGGCUCCUUUGGUAGAAAAGAACCAGCUUUACAGGUUCCUGAGGAACACUGGCUUUUGUCUAAUGGCCAGAAUUGGUGGGAAAAAGGAGUUUGCUUUGGACCUGAUACUUUCCUCAUCUCCUUAAAGACAUAGCACUGGGUUGGGGAUUUAGCUCAGUGGUGGAG